UAUUGAAAUGUUUUAUUGACAAUUUCGCAGCAUUUGUAAUAAUAAUAUUGUAUAUAUAUAUAUAUAUAAUUAUUAUUAUGGUAAAGGCAGUGUUGAUUAAUUUGAUUUUGUAAUAUUUAAAAGGAGUUUGUUGUAUCCUGAAGAAUGCUUCAAUAAUGGAUCGGCCUGUUGGCCAAAAGUGGUGGUUCUAAUGGAUAACGGAUUUAUUACGCGGAUGGCGUUUGUCGUGUGCUCGGAGGACUGCUUCGAUAAUGAGAGUGCUGGCUCUAACGAUCUAACAAACGGAUUUAUUAACACGGUUUUUAGACGGCGUUUGUUGUAUCCCGAGGAAUGUUUCAAUAACGACUCGGCCUGUAGGCCAAUCGGUUCUAAUGGAUAACGGAUUUAUUACGCGGACGGUAUCUGUGGUGCCACGAUAACGAGUAAGCUAGAGAUUGAUGAUGGCAGUCAUCGCUGUUGAAUUUAUUGCAAAGGUAAUUCGUUUUCAUUUGUUAAAAAAAAUUUAUUGCUAUUGAAUUUUUUCAAAAUAGACUUCAUCUUUAUAUACAUUUUAA
Molecule: long non-coding RNA, 554 nt
Organism: Daktulosphaira vitifoliae (grape phylloxera)
Lineage: Eukaryota; Metazoa; Arthropoda; Insecta; Hemiptera; Phylloxeridae
Exons: 4
Source: RefSeq, a predicted model, not a curated record